AUACGGAGGGUCCAAGCGUUAUCCGGAAUCAUUGGGUUUAAAGGGUUCGUAGGCGGGUCAAUAAGUCAGAGGUGAAAUCUUGCCGCUUAACUGUAAAAUUGCCUUUGAUACUGUUGACCUUGAAUUACUGUGAAGUGGUUAGAAUAUGUAGUGUAGCGGUGAAAUGCUUAGAGAUUACAUAGAAUACCGAUUGCGAAGGCAGAUCACUAACAGUAUAUUGACGCUGAUGAACGAAAGCGUGGGUAGCGAACGGGAUUAGAAACCCUAGUAGUCC
This 274-nucleotide ribosomal RNA is filed under the name uncultured bacterium. RNAcentral describes it as "partial 16S ribosomal RNA". It matches the Rfam family "Bacterial small subunit ribosomal RNA", at positions 523 to 796 of the family's 1533-position model. The record is from RNAcentral.